RNAcentral lists this ribosomal RNA (479 nucleotides) under uncultured bacterium. RNAcentral describes it as "partial 16S ribosomal RNA". It matches the Rfam family "Bacterial small subunit ribosomal RNA", at positions 28 to 507 of the family's 1533-position model. The record is from RNAcentral.
GGUGAACGCUAGCGGGAGGCCUAACACAUGCAAGCCGAGCGGUAUUGUUUCUUCGGAAAUGCGAGAGCGGCGUACGGGUGCGUAACACGUGUGCAACCUGCCUUUAUCUGGGGGAUAGCCUUUCGAAAGGAAGAUUAAUACUCCAUAAUAUAUUGAACGGCAUCGUUUAAUAUUGAAAGCUCCGGCGGAUAGAGAUGGGCACGCGCAAGAUUAGCUAGUUGGUGAGGUAACGGCUCACCAAGGCGAUGAUCUUUAGGGGGCCUGAGAGGGUGAUCCCCCACACUGGUACUGAGACACGGACCAGACUCCUACGGGAGGCAGCAGUGAGGAAUAUUGGUCAAUGGGUGCAAGCCUGAACCAGCCAUCCCGCGUGAAGGACGACUGCCCUAUGGGUUGUAAACUUCUUUUGGAUAGGGAUAAACCUACCCUCGUGAGGGUAGCUGAAGGUACUAUACGAAUAAGCACCGGCUAACUCCGUG